UGUAUUUUUUAAAUUUUUACAACGCCAUUAAAAUGUUUUUUUUUAAUUCUAAGCGUAAGUUCUUGACCAUAACUUUAUAAGAAUUUUUUUUUAUUACAAUUUCGUUUAAAAAAAGAAAAAAGCCUGAACAGUUUUAAGGAUUUAACUUACUUUAAGUGUUUAAUAAUAAUUUUGUUAGUUCUUAUCGAUAUUUCGUAUGAGUAUUAUGCUGCAAUUUUUGCAACACAGGUCGAUAGUCUCGAAAAUUCCCGAAAGUUAUGAAAAUAUAAUAGUAGGCUAUCUAUGGGCCUAUAAAAUCAGUCUAUCAAAAUCAACAGAAAAGUGGAGUCGAUUCCGUAGCUUUAAAAAGAAAGAAAACUUUUGCGAAAAUGUUAAACCUUUACAUGUUAAAUAUAUUAAAUGAACCAAAAACAUUCUGGAAAGUACGUAUAUCCUUUGCCGUAAAUUGUGCAGACUCAUCGUGUGCUUUAGCAUUACAUUUCUCUGAGAAAGAAGUUUGUGCUUCAAGAGCACUUUGCCAAGGAUUCGAUUCGGAAGUUAAAUAACUCAACUACCUUUACCACCAGCAAGAUUGUGACUUCGGCGGUAUUGGCACUGGUAGUAUGAAAAUUAUUGGAAAAGCUGUUCGAGGAACACCUCGAUAAAUUUCAUAGUACUAGGGCCAAUAAAGGCCAGGACCUCGAGAUUUGCAGUGGAUUCGUGAGCCAAGGAUUACAGAAUACCGCGAGGAAACGAAAUAAAAAUUAUAAAUAUA
Long non-coding RNA from Drosophila biarmipes, 754 nucleotides. RefSeq lists it as uncharacterized. The transcript has 2 exons. The record is from RefSeq and is a predicted model, not a curated record. Lineage: Eukaryota; Metazoa; Arthropoda; Insecta; Diptera; Drosophilidae.